RNAcentral lists this ribosomal RNA (807 nucleotides) under uncultured bacterium. RNAcentral describes it as "bacterial SSU rRNA". It matches the Rfam family "Bacterial small subunit ribosomal RNA", at positions 97 to 913 of the family's 1533-position model. The record is from RNAcentral.
GGCAGACGGGUGAGUAACGCGUGGGAACGUGCCCUUUGCUACGGAAUAGUCCUGGGAAACUGGGGGUAAUACCGUAUGUGCCCUUCGGGGGAAAGAUUUAUCGGCAAAGGAUCGGCCCGCGUUGGAUUAGCUAGUUGGUGAGGUAAAGGCUCGCCAAGGCGACGAUCCAUAGCUGGUCUGAGAGGAUGAUCAGCCACACUGGGACUGAGACACGGCCCAGACUCCUACGGGAGGCAGCAGUGAGGAAUUUUCCGCAAUGGGCGCAAGCCUGACGGAGCGACGCCGCGUGAGGGAUGACGGCCUUCGGGUUGUAAACCUCUUUUAUUAAGGAAAAAGGCAAUCGUGCUAACACCACGGUUGUUUGAUGGUACUUAUUGAAUAAGCCCCGGCUAACUACGUGCCAGCAGCCGCGGUAAUACGUAGGGGGCGAGCGUUGUCCGGAGUUACUGGGCGUAAAGAGCGUGUAGGCGGUUGAAAAAGUCAGGUGUGAAAUUCUUCGGCUUAACCGAGGGACUGCGCCUGAAACUUUUCGACUGGAGUUUGGGAGGGGCAACUGGAAUUCCUGGUGUAACGGUGAAAUGUGUAGAUAUCAGGAGGAACACCCGUGGCGAAGGCGGGUUGCUGGACCAAAACUGACGCUGAGACGCGAAAGCGUGGGUAGCAAACAGGAUUAGAUACCCUGGUAGUCCACGCUGUAAACGAUGAGUGCUAGGUGUAGGGGGUAUCGACUCCUUCUGUGCCGCAGUUAACGCAUUAAGCACUCCGCCUGGGGAGUACGGCCGCAAGGUUAAAACUCAAAGGAAUUGA